AUUGAACGCUGGCGGCAUGCCUUACACAUGCAAGUCGAACGGUAACGGGCCUUCGGGUGCCGACGAGUGGCGCACGGGUGAGUAAUACAUCGGAACGUGCCCGAUCGUGGGGGAUAACGAGGCGAAAGCUUUGCUAAUACCGCAUACGAUCUACGGAUGAAAGCAGGGGACCGCAAGGCCUUGCGCGGACGGAGCGGCCGAUGGCAGAUUAGGUAGUUGGUGGGAUAAAAGCUUACCAAGCCGACGAUCUGUAGCUGGUCUGAGAGGAUGAUCAGCCACACUGGGACUGAGACACGGCCCAGACUCCUACGGGAGGCAGCAGUGGGGAAUUUUGGACAAUGGGCGCAAGCCUGAUCCAGCCAUGCCGCGUGCAGGAUGAAGGCCUUCGGGUUGUAAACUGCUUUUGUACGGAACGAAAAGCCUUCUUUUAAUACAGGAGUGUCAUGACGGUACCGUAAGAAUAAGCACCGGCUAACUACGUG
This 482-nucleotide ribosomal RNA is filed under the name uncultured bacterium. Its description in RNAcentral is "partial 16S ribosomal RNA". It matches the Rfam family "Bacterial small subunit ribosomal RNA", at positions 30 to 507 of the family's 1533-position model. The record is from RNAcentral.